Molecule: ribosomal RNA, 474 nt
Filed under: Myriophora sp. H42
Lineage: Eukaryota; Metazoa; Arthropoda; Insecta; Diptera; Phoridae
Description: partial 16S ribosomal RNA
Source: RNAcentral
UCUUUUAGAAAUUAAUUUAAAGUCUAACCUGCCCACUGAAUUUUUUUAAAUGGCCGCAGUAUCCUAACUGUGCAAAGGUAGCAUAAUCAUUAGUCUUUUAAUUGAAGGCUGGAAUGAAUGGUUGGAUGAAAUAUUAACUGUUUCAUAAAAAUUUAUAAUAGAAUUUUAUUUUUUAGUCAAAAAGCUAAAAUUUAAUUAAAAGACGAGAAGACCCUAUAAAUCUUUAUAUUUAUAAAAUUACAAUUAUAUAGAUAAUUUAAAUUUUAAUUUUUUAUAAUAUUUUAUUGGGGUGAUAUUAAAAUUUAAUAAACUUUUAAUUUAUAAUUUACAUAAAUUAAUGAAUUUUUGAUCCAUUUAUUAUGAUUAAAAAAUUAAGUUACUUUAGGGAUAACAGCGUAAUUUUUUUAGAGAGUUCAUAUUGAUAAAAAAGAUUGCGACCUCGAUGUUGGAUUAAGAUACAGUUUUAGGUGCAGC